GGAGGGGUGCCCGAGUGGUUAAAGGGGACGGGCUGUAAACCCGUUGGCUAUGCCUACGUUGGUUCAAAUCCAACCCCCUCCACCA
This 85-nucleotide transfer RNA is filed under the name Hyphomicrobiales bacterium. RNAcentral describes it as "tRNA-Tyr". It matches the Rfam family "tRNA". Rfam says of the family: Transfer RNA (tRNA) molecules are approximately 80 nucleotides in length. Their secondary structure includes four short double-helical elements and three loops (D, anti-codon, and T loops). RNAcentral also lists the same sequence under 3 other names. Lineage: Bacteria; Pseudomonadati; Pseudomonadota; Alphaproteobacteria; Hyphomicrobiales. The record is from RNAcentral.